AUAUUCCCUCUGCCUUUUGGCUAAGAUCAAGUGUAGUAUCUGUUCUUAUCAGUAGUCAGGGUCUAGAAGAGGCAAGAUCUUUAAAUGAAACUUGCCACCACUC
Molecule: small nuclear RNA, 103 nt
Filed under: Mustela putorius furo (domestic ferret)
Lineage: Eukaryota; Metazoa; Chordata; Mammalia; Carnivora; Mustelidae
Description: U2 spliceosomal RNA
Rfam family: U2 spliceosomal RNA
About the family: U2 is a small nuclear RNA (snRNA) component of the spliceosome (involved in pre-mRNA splicing). Complementary binding between U2 snRNA (in an area lying towards the 5' end but 3' to hairpin I) and the branchpoint sequence (BPS) of the intron results the bulging out of an unpaired adenosine, on the BPS, which initiates a nucleophilic attack at the intronic 5' splice site, thus starting the first of two transesterification reactions that mediate splicing.
Source: Rfam by way of RNAcentral